AUUGAACGCUGGCGGAAUGCUUUACACAUGCAAGUCGAACGGCAGCACGGGGGCAACCCUGGUGGCGAGUGGCGAACGGGUGAGUAAUACAUCGGAACGUGCCCAGUCGUGGGGGAUAACGUAGCGAAAGCUACGCUAAUACCGCAUACGAUCUCUGGAUGAAAGCGGGGGACCGCAAGGCCUCGCGCGAUUGGAGCGGCCGAUGGCAGAUUAGGUAGUUGGUGGGGUAAAGGCUCACCAAGCCGACGAUCUGUAGCUGGUCUGAGAGGACGGACCAGCCACACUGGGACUGAGACACGGCCCAGACUCCUACGGGAGGCAGCAGUGGGGAAUUUUGGACAAUGGGCGCAAGCCUGAUCCAGCCAUUCCGCGUGCAGGAUGAAGGCCCU
This 389-nucleotide ribosomal RNA is filed under the name uncultured bacterium. Its description in RNAcentral is "bacterial SSU rRNA". It matches the Rfam family "Bacterial small subunit ribosomal RNA", at positions 29 to 418 of the family's 1533-position model. The record is from RNAcentral.